CCUACGGGGCGCAGCAGUGAGGAAUAUUGGUCAAUGGACGCAAGUCUGAACCAGCCAUGCCGCGUGCAGGACGACGGCUCUAUGCGUUGUAAACUUCUUUUGUACGGGGGUAAACGCAGGUACGCGUGUCUGUCUGAGAGUAUCGUACGAAUAAGGAUCGGCUAACUCCGUGCCAGCAGCCGCGGUAAUACGGAGGAUUCAAGCGUUAUCCGGAUUUAUUGGGGUUAAAGGGUGCGUAGGCGGUCGGAUAAGUUAGAGGUGAAAUCCCGAGGCUCAACUUCGGAAUUGCCUUUGAUACUGGUGGGCUAGAGAGGAGGUGAGGUAGGCGGAAUGUAUGGUGUAGCGGUGAAAUGCUUAGAGAUCAUACAGAACACCGAUUGCGAAGGCAGCUGACCAAGGUACUUCUGACGCUGAGGCACGAAAGCGUGGGGAGCAAACAGGAUUAGAUACCCUAGUAGUC
RNAcentral lists this ribosomal RNA (460 nucleotides) under uncultured bacterium. RNAcentral describes it as "partial 16S ribosomal RNA". It matches the Rfam family "Bacterial small subunit ribosomal RNA", at positions 338 to 795 of the family's 1533-position model. The record is from RNAcentral.